UUUUUUUUUUUUUUUUUUUUUUUUUUGUACCUUUAUAGCUUGUAAUUUACAAAGCCCAUAAUCGGCUUAAAACUUGUACUUAGCACAGUAGUUUCUUUCAGAUGUACAGCUGAAGUCUCGGUUCUUUUGUUCCUUCUAAACUCUCUCUUUCUCUCCCCAUAUCCUUUUUCUUUCUCAUAUUUUAAGAAUCAGCCAUUGAUUGUUGGGUGUAGCCAGUCCUGCCUAUUGUUCGUUAUUUUAGUAGGAAGCUGCUUUUGUCUGUAAUCAUCAUGUGUUAUGAGCCUGAGCAUCAUCAGCACUCUACAUAGAUUGCAUUCAAAGUGUUCAGCCUUUUGAGUGAGGGCUAUCAGUAUGGUUCUAUUCUAAUCAAUAGCUUGUUUGUGAUUUACUAUAUUUGGAUAUUGGGAAGGCCGGAGUAAAGUGAAACUGAUAAAUGUAAGUACUCAUAUCUCGAUCAGGUAUAUAGAUGAGUGAUGUUAUGUAUAUUGUAUAUUAAGAUCUACGUUCUUAGUUAAGAUGCUUUAUGUUUGAAUCUUCUCAUCUUUAAAUGCUUUGUUGAAUUAAAAAAAAAAA
Cucurbita moschata (crookneck pumpkin) is the source of this 573-nucleotide long non-coding RNA. RefSeq lists it as uncharacterized. The transcript has 3 exons. The record is from RefSeq and is a predicted model, not a curated record. NCBI's taxonomy places the organism in Eukaryota, Viridiplantae, Streptophyta, Magnoliopsida, Cucurbitales, Cucurbitaceae.